This 440-nucleotide ribosomal RNA is filed under the name uncultured bacterium. RNAcentral describes it as "partial 16S ribosomal RNA". It matches the Rfam family "Bacterial small subunit ribosomal RNA", at positions 338 to 795 of the family's 1533-position model. The record is from RNAcentral.
CCUACGGGAGGCAGCAGUGGGGAAUAUUGCACAAUGGGGGAAACCCUGAUGCAGCGACGCCGCGUGAGUGAAGAAGUAUUUCGGUAUGUAAAGCUCUAUCAGCAGGGAAGAAAUAGACGGUACCUGACUAAGAAGCACAGUCUCACUACGUUCCAGCAGCCGCGGUAAUACGUCGGGGGCCAGCGUUAUCCGGAUUUACUGGGUGUAAAGGGAGCGUAGUCGGCAGCGAAAGUCUGGAGGGAAAUCACAUGGUUUAACCAUGGAAAUGCUUUGGAGACUGUGCAGCUAGAGUGCAGGAGAGGUAAGCGGAAUAACUAGUGUAGCGGUGAAAUGCGUAGAUAUUAGGAGGAACACCAGUGGCGAAGGCGGCUUACUGGACUGUAACUGACGUUGAGGCUCGAAAGCGUGGGGAGCAAACAGGAUUAGAUACCCUUGUAGUC